This is a long non-coding RNA of Pollicipes pollicipes, 178 nucleotides long. RefSeq lists it as uncharacterized. The transcript has 3 exons. The record is from RefSeq and is a predicted model, not a curated record. NCBI's taxonomy places the organism in Eukaryota, Metazoa, Arthropoda, Thecostraca, Pollicipedomorpha, Pollicipedidae.
CGGACCGACUCGCUGUCUCAGCUGGAGAGCGCCAGCUGCGAGUCCACGGCCUUCUACGUCUGCGAGACGGGUAGCGCCAGCGUUGCCCGCUGUAUGAAGCAGAAGAACCGGCUGUGCUGUGCUGUGGAUGCCAACCACUACCCAGAGCCGUGCUAUGUGGACGAGCUGGGCACGCGGU